UAUUCUCAAUUCCCUUAGUGUUUUCUAAGGUGAUAUUGGACUUGGAGGUUGUUGCUGGCAUCAUUGUGAAAGUCAGCUCCUCUUAAAUGCAUUAGUGUGAAUGUUCAUUUCAUACUCAGUGUGAUAAUUAUCUGCACUGUGUAUAAGUGAUAAAGCUUCAUGCUUCUAAUCGUCGCAAGACAAUUCCUUUGAC
This 193-nucleotide unclassified non-coding RNA is filed under the name uncultured fungus. Its description in RNAcentral is "sequence contains ITS2". The record is from RNAcentral. Lineage: Eukaryota; Fungi.